GGAGUGCCUUCUUUUGGUUUAGAGUUUUGGGGGCUCCAUAUUAGAAGCAUAUGUAGCUGUUCCAGCUUCAGCUGCCUCAAGUCUGCCUGGGCCUCCUGCAUGAGGUCAUGAGUCUUAAUAAAGCCACUGACCCACACAUUUGGAAUUGUACUGACUUUUCACAGCUAACAGCCAACACAUUGCCAAGAAGCAAUUCAGUUGUUGGGGAUAUCACAUCAUGCCAGGGAAAGAGAAAUGGAAUUCAGAAAGCCUGGGAUAUUGCAGUUCAGAUAAAUUGCACUUGGCCAAAGCAAAUGUCCUAAGGGCAUUGCAGCUGCAGCUGGAGAAUGAAGAAGACAUACAAUUAGGGCUUUUGUCACUGUCGCUUGAUUUCAUUAAAGGGCAUUAGUUCUCUGCGAGAUGUAUGGGGUCGGAGAGGACAGGAGCCAGCAGCUCCCAGUGCAGCAGCAAGGCCGGCCCAGGUGACCACCUGGAGCAUCGUUUCUGCUGCCACACUCAUGGGCUGCACCGUGCUGCCCCACCCCACCGUGCCCUGCUCAGCUGUGCCCUGCUCCAUCUCCCUCGCCAGGCCUGAGACCGGCCCCCAGUGUAUUGUGACUCCUGAGGUCUCUCAGCUGUCCCUCAGCUCCCAGGAGAAUUGCUCUCCGCUGCAGAAGCCACCUGACGGGGAGGCUGACCCCGCUCCAGGACUGACUGAUAAAGGUUUAUUCUGACAGUAACUUCUCCCCAGGUCAGAAG
Long non-coding RNA from Rhinopithecus roxellana (golden snub-nosed monkey), 738 nucleotides. RefSeq lists it as uncharacterized. Lineage: Eukaryota; Metazoa; Chordata; Mammalia; Primates; Cercopithecidae. The transcript has 4 exons. The record is from RefSeq and is a predicted model, not a curated record.